CGGCGGCUGGGGUUCCUGGUGAUGCGAUUUUCUUGUGCUCGCCAAAAUCACAUUGCCAGGGAUUUCCAACUGGCG
RNAcentral lists this microRNA precursor (75 nucleotides) under Ornithorhynchus anatinus (platypus). RNAcentral's name for it is "mir-23 microRNA precursor family". It matches the Rfam family "mir-23 microRNA precursor family". Lineage: Eukaryota; Metazoa; Chordata; Mammalia; Monotremata; Ornithorhynchidae. The record is from Rfam by way of RNAcentral.